GCAGGUAAACAUGUCGACUGGAGAAGGUGGAGUAGUUCUCACACCACUGUGCCAAGGCUUCCUGAAGAAAAGAAAAGACAAAAUGAGGCUGAGGUGGGUGACCUACUGGUUCAAACUUCACAACACAACCCUGUUCUUCUACACCAAGAAAAAUGGAUCUACUUUGGAUCUUAGAGGAAAGUAUUACCUGUUUGAGGUUGAAUCCGUGCAGGAGGUGAUGCGGACUGAGAACAAGCGCUACCUUUUUGAACUCACGAUGAAAAACGGGAAGAGGAAAGUUCUGGCUGCAGACACAGCAGAUCUCAGACAAGAGUGGAUUUGCCAGCUUCUGAAAGCCAUGAACCAUUCCAGCCUUCACACCACUCAGCUGACCUCUGACAGGUUUCGUGAGAGUUUUUCAGAUCAUGAACAGAGAGCUGAUUCCAACCCGUGCAGCAGCAGAAGCAGCUUCAGCUCAACCUCAGAGAGCAGCAGUUUCAGAAGGCCUAACUCCAACAUGUCUGACUAUCUGUGGUCCAGCAGCACCAGCUCUCAGACUGCUUCCCAUCACACUCCCCAGCGCUUUUCCACUUCUCAGGAUAUGACCAGCCUCGGGAUCAGUCAGCAUCCAGAGGAUGAAGUGGAGCAUAAGAUGGAGGAGAUUAAACUGGAGAGUGAUUAUGACGUCCUGCCUGCUCCAAAAUCACUGAAUUAUGAAGAAGCCAUUUAUGAUACGCCUCCAUCCAACCGGCGAGCCAGCGGCAGAAAUCACGAAAUGACUGAAAGCAUCUAUGAUGUCCCGAAGUCCAUAUUUAUGAGAGCAGAUGGUGAUGAGAGGCCUGCCAGUGGAGGGCUGCUUAUAGAUAUGAUGGCCUGUCUUGGGGAGAGACUCAGUGAUCUGGGGCAGAGCAGCUAGCUGCACCAAGAGUCAGCUGUUAACUCUAGAGCAUCAUCUGGACAUAUCCGGUUACAAUACUAACCAGCAAGACUUUGUUUGUGAAUAUUAUUUUUCUUUACAGUAUUAUUUGUAACAUUUUAUAAUAAGGAUCACAAAUAACAGAACCUACAACAGUAAUAAACAUUGUUAAAUGGUUACUCA
RNAcentral lists this long non-coding RNA (1078 nucleotides) under Astyanax mexicanus (Mexican tetra). RNAcentral's name for it is "lncRNA (ENSAMXG00005022824.1)". The record is from RNAcentral. Lineage: Eukaryota; Metazoa; Chordata; Actinopteri; Characiformes; Acestrorhamphidae.